Molecule: ribosomal RNA, 546 nt
Filed under: Anaplectus sp. MHt20
Lineage: Eukaryota; Metazoa; Nematoda; Chromadorea; Plectida; Plectidae
Description: SSU rRNA
Rfam family: Eukaryotic small subunit ribosomal RNA
Source: RNAcentral
AACUUCCCGGAAACGAAAGUACUUCCGGUUCCGGGGGAAGUAUGGUUGCAAAGCUGAAACUUAAAGGAAUUGACGGAAGGGCACCACCAGGAGUGGAGCUUGCGGCUUAAUUUGACUCAACACGGGGAAACUCACCCGGCCCGGACACCGUAAGGAUUGACAGAUUGAGAGCUCUUUCUUGAUUCGGUGGUUGGUGGUGCAUGGCCGUUCUUAGUUGGUGGAGCGAUUUGUCUGGUUUAUUCCGAUAACGAACGAGACUCUGGCCUACUAACUAGUGACUGGAUUAUUGCUGUCCAGGUUACUUCUUAGAGGGACAAGUGGUGUUCAGCCACACGAAAUUGAGCAAUAACAGGUCUGUGAUGCCCUUAGAUGUCCGGGGCUGCACGCGUGCUACACUGGAGGAAACAGCAUGCAAAACCAUUGCCGAAGGGCAUUGGUAAACCCGAGAAAAUCUUCCGUGAUCGGGAUCGGGAAUUGCAAUUAUUUCCCUUGAACGAGGAAUUCCCAGUAAGUGUGGGUCAUCAGCUCGCGUUGAUUACGUCCCUG